UACGUAGGGGGCAAGCGUUAUCCGGAUUUACUGGGUGUAAAGGGAGCGUAGACGGAAAGGCAAGUCAGAAGUGAAAGCCCAAGGCUCAACCAUGGGACUGCUUUUGAAACUGUCAAACUAGAGUACGGGAGAGGUAAGAGGAAUUCCUAGUGUAGCGCUGAAAUGCGUAGAUAUUAGGAGGAACACCAGUGGCGAAGGCGUCUUACUGGACCGAAACUGACGUUGAGGCUCGAAAGCGUGGGGAGCAAACAGG
Molecule: ribosomal RNA, 253 nt
Filed under: uncultured bacterium
Lineage: Bacteria
Description: partial 16S ribosomal RNA
Rfam family: Bacterial small subunit ribosomal RNA
Source: RNAcentral